Molecule: transfer RNA, 77 nt
Filed under: Garciella nitratireducens DSM 15102
Lineage: Bacteria; Bacillati; Bacillota; Clostridia; Eubacteriales; Eubacteriaceae
Description: tRNA_Met_CAT
Rfam family: tRNA
About the family: Transfer RNA (tRNA) molecules are approximately 80 nucleotides in length. Their secondary structure includes four short double-helical elements and three loops (D, anti-codon, and T loops).
Source: RNAcentral
GGGCCUUUAGCUCAGUUGGUUAGAGCAACCGGCUCAUAACCGGUAAGUCUGGGGUUCGAGUCCCUGAAGGCCCACCA